GGGGUAGUAAAGGUUUCGACAGGGGUCUUGCAGCUGGAGAAGCUAUCCGUAUGCAAUGCGUUAAAUGGCAAAAUUAAACUAAACGCUGAAGAAAAUUUAGCAUACGCUGCCUAAUGGCAGCUGUCCGCUCUAGAGCACUCACACUUUAGAAUCCGGGCAUCGACUAUGUGAGAAACGACAUGCGUGGCGCUCCGGGCGCAUGGGCGUAUAAGGGGCUACCGAAUUCGGAAGGCUGUUCGUUUCCAACCGAAGGAGGGAACAGGCGGGAUUAGCCCGCCGGGAUAACGGACUAUGAUAGUAGAAGGACAGGGAAUGGGCUUUUGGACACGGGUUCGACUCCCGUCUACUCCAUAG
Molecule: transfer-messenger RNA, 354 nt
Filed under: Lachnospiraceae
Lineage: Bacteria; Bacillati; Bacillota; Clostridia; Lachnospirales
Also listed under: 1 other name
Description: Acetatifactor sp015056885 Standard tmRNA
Rfam family: transfer-messenger RNA
About the family: Bacterial tmRNA, also known as 10Sa RNA or SsrA, is named for its dual tRNA and mRNA-like properties. Its role is to liberate the mRNA from a stalled ribosome. To accomplish this part of the tmRNA is used as a reading frame that ends in a translation stop signal.
Source: RNAcentral